This 964-nucleotide long non-coding RNA is filed under the name Homo sapiens (human). RNAcentral's name for it is "HSALNT0192522". The record is from RNAcentral. Lineage: Eukaryota; Metazoa; Chordata; Mammalia; Primates; Hominidae.
AAUCAUUUCCCUCCUGGCUAUUACCUGUCAGUCCAGUCCUUCAUCCCUGAGAUUUCUCUCUUGAACCCUCCUCUCUUCCCAGCUCUUCUACUCCCUCAAUUUUAAUAAGUUUGCUUUUUGCUUUUGUUGUGACCUUACCUAUUGUCCAAUUUAUGUAUUCUUAGUUUCAAGUAUACUAGAGUCUCAGCAUCAUUUUCUGCUUAUCACACCCCCUUUCAACAAGCAGGUAUGACCUUAUGCAUUGAUGCUAUAAGUAUGCUCCAGGUCACUUGAUUGACAGCAUAAAUCAAUCUGCUCCAACUUCUCCAAAUUUCUGAGUUUGUCAUUAAUUUUUCACUUUUUUUUUUUUUUUUUUUUGCAUUUCACUAGUCUCAGGGCUUGACUCACAACACUGAAUUUAUGGUUAUUACCUUAUUUUUUCUUUCUGGGUAAUAGACUUAGUCUGUGCUAUCUAUAGACAUCUGGAUAAAUAUCUUUCCUGGAAUUGUUCAAUCCUGUAUCUUAUCCUUGCUACAGCAUUUAUAAGUUAAGAUAGUACUAAUUCUACCCACCCCCAUAUAUAACAUCUAGAUAGAUAUCUACCCAGGCAGAAUCCCAGGGCUCAUGACGUCAAGUACAUACCAACCUAUUUCCUUCUUUCAGUUUUUGACUGCUUAGUGGAAAGUAUACUCCAUGAAUCCAUAAAUCUGAUUUGCAUUAUUAAAUCCCUACUGAUUUGCAUUCUCUAAUCCCAUUCCAAAAUUUCAAAAUACUGUGAAAGAAAAUUGCAUAAUUAUGUUGGUUGGAAGCCAUUAAAAUUUUAUAUUUUCCAGGCUCAAUGAGAUAAGCAACUCUUUUAAUCAUUCUUACUCAGUUUCUAACACAUUCCUUUCAGUGACAGUUAAAAAAAUAAAGCAGACAAAAGACUUAAUGGUUCUUCUCAAGCCCGUGAUGCUCAAAAAAGAAAUGAUAACCUACUUUAUAU